Molecule: unclassified non-coding RNA, 152 nt
Organism: Callithrix jacchus (white-tufted-ear marmoset)
Lineage: Eukaryota; Metazoa; Chordata; Mammalia; Primates; Cebidae
Rfam family: Metazoan signal recognition particle RNA
About the family: The signal recognition particle (SRP) is a universally conserved ribonucleoprotein.
Source: Ensembl
GCCAGGUGUGGUGGUGCACACCUGUAAUCCCAGCUACUUGGGAGGCUGAGGCAGGAGAAUUGCUUGAACCCAGGAAGUGGAGGUUGCAGUGAGCUGAGAUCACUCACACCACAGCACUCCAGCCUGGGUGAUGGAGCGAGUCUCUGUCUCAA